GUGGCGGACGGGUGCGUAACACGUAAGCAACGUGUCCGAGGGUGGGGAAUAGCCGGCCUAACGGCCGGGUAAUACCGCAUGCAGUGCGGGGGGGCAUCUCCCUGUACGAAAGCCGGGGCAACCUGGCGCCCGCGGAGCGGCUUGCGGCCUAUCAGCUAGUUGGUGAGGUAACGGCUCACCAAGGCGACGACGGGUAGCUGGUCUGAGAGGAUGGCCAGCCACAUUGGGACUGAGACACGGCCCAGACUCCUACGGGAGGCAGCAGUGGGGAAUAUUGCGCAAUGGGCGAAUGCCUGACGCAGCGACGCCGCGUGUGGGAUGAAGGUCUUCGGAUCGUAAACCACUGUCAGAGGGGACGAAGGCCCGGGGUUAACUGCCACCGGGAUUGACGGUACCCUUGGAGGAAGCACCGGCUAACUCUGUGCCAGCAGCCGCGGUAAUACAGAGGGUGCGAGCGUUGUCCGGAAUCACUGGGCGUAAAGGGCGUGUAGGUGGCUGCAUAAGCCGCGUGUGAAAUCCCGGGGCUCAACCCCGGAAUGGCACGCGGGACUGUACGGCUAGAGCAUGGUAGAGGCGAGUGGAAUUCCUGGUGUAGCGGUGGAAUGCGUAGAGAUCAGGAAGAACACCGGUGGCGAAAGCGGCUCGCUGGGGCCAUUUGCUGACACUGAGCGCGAAAGCGUGGGGGAGCAAACAGGGAUUUAGUACCCCUGGUAAGCCCACGCUGUAAAACGAUGGGGCAACUAGGGCGUUCGUGG
Molecule: ribosomal RNA, 755 nt
Filed under: uncultured bacterium
Lineage: Bacteria
Description: bacterial SSU rRNA
Rfam family: Bacterial small subunit ribosomal RNA
Source: RNAcentral